CAAUAGCGUAUAUUAAAGUUGUUGCAGUUAAAAAGCUCGUAGUUGGAUUUCGGGACGGGCCAGUUGGUCCGCCGCAAGGUGUGUUACUGACUGGUCUGUUCUUCUUCGCAAAGACUGCGUGUGCUCUUCGUUGAGUGUGCGUAGGAUUUACGACGUUUACUUUGAAAAAAUUAGAGUGUUCAAAGCAGGCUAUCGCUUGAAUACAUGAGCAUGGAAUAAUGGAAUAGGACUUUGGUCCUAUUUUGUUGGUUUCUAGGACCGAAGUAAUGAUUAAGAGGGACAAUUGGGGGCAUCCGUAUUUCGUUGUCAGAGGUGAAAUUCUUGGAUUUACGAAAGACGAACAACUGCGAAAGCACUUACCAAGAGUGUUUUCAUUAA
RNAcentral lists this ribosomal RNA (378 nucleotides) under uncultured eukaryote. RNAcentral's name for it is "partial 18S ribosomal RNA". It matches the Rfam family "Eukaryotic small subunit ribosomal RNA", at positions 592 to 976 of the family's 1831-position model. The record is from RNAcentral.